UUUGUGCAAGCAAACUGUCCCUAUUCUCCAAUUGGAGGAGAAGGUUGGACAUAGCUUCACUUCUCUUGAUCACCUCAUCGUCAUUAAGGCCGAAAGCAUCAUCAAUGGUGUCCCACCUGCUAAUUUCAUCCUUGAGACUGGAAAUCCUUUCCCCGACAGCACCAAACGAUUCUUUAUUCCAAACUUUAAGGUCCGUCUUUAGC
RNAcentral lists this long non-coding RNA (203 nucleotides) under Salvia miltiorrhiza (redroot sage). Its description in RNAcentral is "long non-coding RNA (SMIL_LNC013741)". The record is from RNAcentral. Lineage: Eukaryota; Viridiplantae; Streptophyta; Magnoliopsida; Lamiales; Lamiaceae.